CAAUAGCGUAUAUUAAAGUUGUUGCGGUUAAAAAGCUCGUAGUUGGAUCUCGGCAGGCAGGGGGUGGUUCGCUCUUAGCGCUACUGCCCCAUUUGCCUGUGUGAUUGGCGGAGGUUUCGGGGUGCUCUUCGUUGAGUGACCCGGGGCGCCGUCAGGUUUACUUUGAAAAAAUUAGAGUGCUCAAAGCAGGCUUUUCACGCUUGAAUAUUCGUGCAUGGAAUAAUGGAAUAGGAACUCGUUUCUAUUUUGUUGGUUUUCGGAAAUCGAGUUAAUGAUUAAUAGGGACAAUUGGGGGCAUUAGUAUUCAGGCGACAGAGGUGAAAUUCUUGGACCGUCUGAAGACUAACUACUGCGAAAGCAUUUGCCAAGAGUGUUUUCAUUAA
RNAcentral lists this ribosomal RNA (383 nucleotides) under uncultured eukaryote. Its description in RNAcentral is "partial 18S ribosomal RNA". It matches the Rfam family "Eukaryotic small subunit ribosomal RNA", at positions 592 to 976 of the family's 1831-position model. The record is from RNAcentral.